UGGGGAAUAUUGCACAAUGGGCGCAAGCCUGAUGCAGCCAUGCCGCGUGUGUGAAGAAGGCCUUCGGGUUGUAAAGCACUUUCAGCGGGGAGGAAGGCGUUAAGGUUAAUAACCUUGGCGAUUGACGUUACCCGCAGAAGAAGCACCGGCUAACUCCGUGCCAGCAGCCGCGGUAAUACGGAGGGUGCAAGCGUUAAUCGGAAUUACUGGGCGUAAAGCGCACGCAGGCGGUCUGUCAAGUCGGAUGUGAAAUCCCCGGGCUCAACCUGGGAACUGCAUUCGAAACUGGCAGGCUAGAGUCUUGUAGAGGGGGGUAGAAUUCCAGGUGUAGCGGUGAAAUGCGUAGAGAUCUGGAGGAAUACCGGUGGCGAAGGCGGCCCCCUGGACAAAGACUGACGCUCAGGUGCGAAAGCGUGGGGAGCAAACAGG
RNAcentral lists this ribosomal RNA (429 nucleotides) under Bacillota bacterium. Its description in RNAcentral is "Firmicutes bacterium partial 16S ribosomal RNA". It matches the Rfam family "Bacterial small subunit ribosomal RNA", at positions 355 to 776 of the family's 1533-position model. The record is from RNAcentral. RNAcentral also lists the same sequence under 5 other names. Lineage: Bacteria; Bacillati; Bacillota.